RNAcentral lists this small RNA (457 nucleotides) under Rhopaloeides odorabile. Its description in RNAcentral is "eukaryotic LSU rRNA". The record is from RNAcentral. Lineage: Eukaryota; Metazoa; Porifera; Demospongiae; Dictyoceratida; Spongiidae.
AAAGAGAGUCAAACAGUACGUGAAACAGUCAGGAGGGAAACGAACGAGGUUGGUGCAGUGAUCACGCAGGUUCAAGCCCUGCCGAGGGUGCCGACGCGGUGACGGAGAUCGUCCCGCGCCGUCCUCCCGAGGCAGUGCCGUACUCCUCGUGAGCACGGACCAGCGGCGGUUGGACCGGAGCCACAAGGCGGCGGAGGAAGGUGAGUCGACACGGGCCCGUCCCGUGUCGACAGCUUACAGCCCCGUCGUACGGCGCUCCGGCCCGACCGAGGAAGAUGGGCAGCCCUUGCCCACCGUGGCACACGCCGAACGGCGGGGCCUCCCGACACGAGUGAACGGUGCGGUGUGGACUGCACGCAGUGCAAACCGUGGCCGUGAUCUCGCGGCGGUGAGCGUCACCCGUGUGCCGGUGCCGCCAGCAUUCAGACGGCCUCGUCCGACCCGUCUUGAAACACGG